RNAcentral lists this ribosomal RNA (1494 nucleotides) under Triticum aestivum (bread wheat). RNAcentral's name for it is "partial small subunit ribosomal RNA". The record is from RNAcentral. Lineage: Eukaryota; Viridiplantae; Streptophyta; Magnoliopsida; Poales; Poaceae.
AUGGGGAAGGAGGCCGGGGACCAGCGCCAGCGCCCGCCCGACGGGGGCGCGGGCGAAGGCGGCGCCGAAGGUAACGGGAGAUGCGGGUGUGGGGGCCGACGCGUGCUGCGGCUGCAAUGCGUGGCGGCGCUCGUGCUGGGCGCGGCCGUGCUGCUGUCCGCGCUCUUCUGGCUGCCGCCCUUCGCGGGCCGCGGCGGGAGGAGCCCGCCCGGCGCGCCGGAUCCCUUCGCCGACGGGUUCAAAGAUGAUAUAGUGGCAAGUUUUAGGCUGCAGAAGAAUGUUUCCGAGCUCAGGGGAAACAUGUCCAAGCUCGUAUUGGACAUCUAUGCGGAAGUCGGUGUCCCUAACUCCAUUGUGGCUGUGGAUUUACUACAUCCAUUAGCUGGAUCGAACUGGACAAAUGUCAUCUUCAGCAUUGUGCCUUAUCCAAAGAAUUCGACUAUAUCAUCAAUGGGGUUGAGCAUUAUUAGGGCAUCUUUUAUGUCCUUGGUUGUGCGGCAGUCAACACUCCACUUGACCAAGUCCCUCUUUGGGAAUUCAUCAUCCUUUGAAGUGCUUAAAUUCCCUGGAGGAAUAACAAUAAUUCCUCCGCAGCACGCUUUUCCUCCUGAAACACUCCAUGCAACUUUUAAUUUUACUCUGAAUUUCCCAAUCUACAAAGUGCAAGACAGAACUGAUGAAUUAAAGGAUCAAAUGAAGACAGGACUACUACUCAAUUCUAAUGAGAAUCUUUAUAUCAAAUUGGGAAAUUUGCAAGGAUCAACAAUUCUUCCUCCAACUAUUGUUGAGACCUACAUUGUUCGUGUUGUUGGGAAUCACCAGCCAUCUGUACCAAGGAUGAAGCAGUUGGCGCAAACAAUUACUAAUUCAUCUAAAGGGAACCUUGGUCUGAACCACACCGUAUUUGGCAGAGUAAAGCAGAUAAGCCUUUCCUCCUAUCUUAAUCGUUCUUUGCAUAGCAGGGGCAGUUCUGAUGCACCUAGUCAAGCACCAAUGCAACAUCAUGGUCAUCACGGCCAUCAUCACCAUCACCAUGGUCAUGAAAGCAACAGGCAUUUGGCUCCUGCUCCUCUCCCUGUACAUACACCCAGAUAUGUUGCUCCACCUCCAUCUGGGUGUCCAUAUGGCAACAGGGCAAAGAGCAGGGUUCCUGUGGCGCCAGCUGCCGAGCCUGUAGCCAAUGAUCACCGUUCUACUCAUCCUGCCGCUUCACCACCUCAUCCAUUAUCACCUUCUUCUGUUCGUCAUCCUCCACGUGGUCCUAAUAUGCACAGUAGAUCUCCUGUUCCGUCCCCUCCAGUUCUUCCAGAGCCGCCUUUGCCCACUGUUUCUUUUAGUCAUGCACACCCUCCAAGUGAGCGUGCGACAGGAACUGGCCCUUCUGCUGGAAUGUCUGUGGCCCCUGCACCGCAUUCAUCUAAUGCUAGCCGGAGGCUCUCCUACCACUGGGUCCUGGUACCCCUCAUAUAUACCCUGCUUUGGAGCCUGCUAUGA